UACGUAGGUGGCGAGCGUUGUCCGGAAUUACUGGGUGUAAAGGGAGCGUAGGCGGGAGCGCAAGUUUACUGUUUAAUCUAUCGGCUCAACCGGUAUCAGCGGUAAAAACUGCGUUUCUUGAGUGAAGUAGAGGUAGGCGGAAUUCCUAGUGUAGCGGUGAAAUGCGUAGAGAUUAGGAGGAACACCAGUGGCGAAGGCGGCCUACUGGGCUUUAACUGACGCUGAGGCUCGAAAGCGUGGGGAGCAAACAGGAUUAGAUACCCGGGUAGUCCCUGAGCGGGCU
Molecule: ribosomal RNA, 283 nt
Filed under: uncultured prokaryote
Description: partial 16S ribosomal RNA
Rfam family: Bacterial small subunit ribosomal RNA
Source: RNAcentral